This 389-nucleotide ribosomal RNA is filed under the name Phaeocystis sp. Its description in RNAcentral is "partial small subunit ribosomal RNA". It matches the Rfam family "Eukaryotic small subunit ribosomal RNA", at positions 582 to 975 of the family's 1831-position model. Lineage: Eukaryota; Haptophyta; Phaeocystales; Phaeocystaceae. The record is from RNAcentral.
AUUCCAGCUCCAAUAGCGUAUAUUAAAGUUGUUGCAGUUAAAAAGCUCGUAGUCGGAUUUCGGGGCCUGCCGAGCGGUCUGCCGAUGGGUAUGCACUGUUCGGCGCGUCCUUCUUUCCGGAGACUAAUUCUACUCUUAACUGAGCGGAAUUGGGAGACGGAUCGUUUACUUUGAAAAAAUCAGAGUGUUUCAAGCAGGCAGCUCGCUCUUGCAUGGAUUAGCAUGGGAUAAUGAAAUAGGACUUUGGUGCUAUUUUGUUGGUUUCGAACACCGAAGUAAUGAUUAACAGGGACAGUCAGGGGCACUCGUAUUCCGCCGAGAGAGGUGAAAUUCUCAGACCAGCGGAAGACGAACCACUGCGAAAGCAUUUGCCAGGGAUGUUUUCAUCG